UGGGAUGAUAAUUCAUCGAUUAUUCUCGGACUCGUCCGAGUUAGUCCGUGCGUUCACAUUAUUAAUUCAUGAACACAACAAACGCGCGAUCGCAAUCGUUACGUUAUUGAUGAUGUCCUACGAUCCAUACCGUUCGCGUUGUCUACCUUCCGGCUAUUUUCGACUACACAUGUCACAUCGUGUAGCCGUAUGCCAAGUGCUAAUCGCAACUCUCUUCCAACGACGGACACAAACAUUCGUUACUCGACGUAAGGUUACCCUAACCUACUCACGGCACGAUGUGGUGAACUAUCGCGCGGCCAACGUUUGAAGCCUGUUGGACGAGACGAGGAUAAUUAAUUAAAAGAUAAAACCACUUGGUCCCGGGUAUGCGGACCGACAAAAACACAUGUGGUGUGCCGUUGUAGUAACACAUAUGUUCGAGGGUUAUGUCCGUUUGCCAUAUUAUAUAGUAUGGAUCGCAAUCAAUAAUUAUGAUUUCGUUAAGACGUUUUGAAAAUUAUUUAAAAUAUCGAUGUGUGUGUGUAUCUAGGCUUAUACGUACUUAUACAUUGUAAGAGCAUUUGUAACUUAAUUUUAUGAUUUUUAAUUAUAAACCGAACACCUUGUGGGUUUAAUUGAA
This is a long non-coding RNA of Sipha flava (yellow sugarcane aphid), 622 nucleotides long. RefSeq lists it as uncharacterized. NCBI's taxonomy places the organism in Eukaryota, Metazoa, Arthropoda, Insecta, Hemiptera, Aphididae. The record is from RefSeq and is a predicted model, not a curated record. The transcript is spliced from 3 exons.